UCUAUAGCUAACACCGUUCUAGAAGUAUAGUCACUUUAAAUUUUUUAAACUCCACAAAUAUCUUUUUAUCUCUUUUAUAUAGUACUGGGAGUUGAACUAGGGCCUCAUGUGCUCGGCAUGUGCCCUGGCACCCCAGCAUCCCCAGCUCUUCCGUGUCUUUUUCUUUUUUUUUUAAUCUUUAUGACAUGAUGAUUUUCUAGUCUGACAGUUUUAAUUUUAACAUUUAGAGCAAAAAAAAAAAAAAACCUGUUUAAUUACUUGUGCAUGUUUAAAAUUGCAACCCAUGCCUCAGGAAUUCCAUAAAGUUUAUUUUACUUGAAUAGAAGUCAUCUUAAAAGUGAUUAAAAGAAGCCCUUAGGCCAUUGUCACACAGCCCCUCUGGGUCAGUCUGUGGCUUAUUGACUUUCUCCACAGGCAGUUUGCCUGUUAGAAUCCCCAAAGCUGGCAUUUUGGGGCCUUUCCCUUGCCCCCUGCUCUCACCUGGCUUCUCUUCUCUUGAGAUUCAUGGAGGCAGCCUGUGGAUCUCAGAAUUCAGUGGGCGCUCUCUAGCUCUGAAUCCCUGUGCUGCAAAUCAAAGGCUCACCUGUGCUGGUGACCUCGAGGAACGCUAACAGACAGUCGAGGUGAAUACAAGCCUGAACUGACUAAAAUGCUCACCGUGAAAUAUUUCAGGAAAUGUCUUUAAGCCAAAAGUAGAGUGCAGUAUAAGUAAGGGGCAGGAGUAAUGUCUAGAAAUGUAGACAGCAGAGGAAGAGUUUAUGUAAUAUUUAUACUAUAGAGCAAUAACAUCCUCCAUGUUUGUUACAUGUAACUACUUGUAACCAGAUGUUUACAUGCAAGAUUUAUAGGAAAAUGCUGCCCAUUCUUCCCUGAGGUGUUAAGGGCAGAGCUCCCUUGCUCGUAGCCUACCCAGUGCUUUCCUGUUGAGUCACCUCAGAGGAUCUUUACCAAAGAUUUUUUUAAAGUAAAUUUCUUUUUAAUAUAGACUUAUACUUUUAUAAUAAUGAAUGUGCACAUACUCAUAUACAGAAAUAUUUAGGAUUAGAUCUUUUUCUUUCACAAGGUCUCAUGCAAUAAAGUAUCCACCACAUUAUUCUCCAAUUACUUUAAUAUAUAAUUUACAUUGCUUUCUCGUUUUCUUCUACUAAGCAUUUGACUUAAGCAAUACUAAAUACUCUGCUCUUUGCUCUUUUAUCUACAUAAAGAUUUGCCUACUGUAGAGAUAUAAAGAUCUGUUACCUUAAUGAUUAUAUGCAUUGCCUUUUGAUAUAUUGCCUUACUUAUCAUUUAAAUACAUAAAUAGAAAGAUAUAAUGUCUGUAACAGAAAACUUAUAAAGUUAUACCUGAAUUGUUUAAAUAUCAAGAGCACAAACAUUUGGUUAUUCUGUAUAAAAUGAAACAUAU
This 1405-nucleotide long non-coding RNA is filed under the name Mus musculus (house mouse). RNAcentral's name for it is "long non-coding RNA chr16:24980800-24982205". Lineage: Eukaryota; Metazoa; Chordata; Mammalia; Rodentia; Muridae. The record is from RNAcentral.